RNAcentral lists this ribosomal RNA (424 nucleotides) under Ostorhinchus aureus (ring-tailed cardinalfish). Its description in RNAcentral is "partial 12S rRNA". It matches the Rfam family "Bacterial small subunit ribosomal RNA", at positions 915 to 1533 of the family's 1533-position model. Lineage: Eukaryota; Metazoa; Chordata; Actinopteri; Kurtiformes; Apogonidae. The record is from RNAcentral.
GGCGCUUCACACCCACCUAGAGGAGCCUGUUCUAGAACCGAUGACCCCCGUUCAACCUCACCUUCUCUUGUUCUCCCCGCCUAUAUACCGCCGUCGUCAGCCCACCCUGUGAAGGCCCAGUAGUGAGCAGAAUUGGCAAAGCCCAAAACGUCAGGCCGAGGUGUAGCGAAUGAGAAGGGAAGAAAUGGGCUACAAUUGCUUAAACAGCUAAAACGAAUUGUAACGCUGAAAGUGCAGACAUGAAGGAGGAUUUAGAAGUAAGGGGGCAAAUAGAGUGUCCCCCUGAAAUGGUUCUGAAGCGUGCACACACCGCCCGUCACUCUCCCCAAGUUAGAACAUUAUAUAAUAACUAAACACUUAGCCCUACAAAGGGGAGGCAAGUCGUAACAUGGUAAGUGUACCGGAAGGUGCACUUGGAAGAAAC